Long non-coding RNA from Delphinapterus leucas (beluga whale), 3837 nucleotides. NCBI's taxonomy places the organism in Eukaryota, Metazoa, Chordata, Mammalia, Artiodactyla, Monodontidae. The record is from Ensembl.
GAAACAUGAUAACCAUCUUCACCUGUGGAGAUACUGUAGUGUGAAGUGUCCUAUUUGAAGGAACGGUUGGCCCUCUAGAGCUCCUUCCAUCUUUAAAUUCAAUGAAAUUUUAGCAUUUGUUCUAAUUUUUAAAGUAUCUUAUCUCUUUCCCAACUUUUCCACCCUUACCCUUACAUUAACCCAAUUAUUUGUGAAUUUUCUUACUUUUUAGUAUCUGACCAAGAGGAUACCACAAAACCCAAGGUAUCAGCAUGUCAAGUCAAGACUAGACACUGGUGCCUGAGUGUAUCUUACCAGCUCCCCAGCAUUGCCAGACUGUGCCAUGAAUGGAUUAUGCUUCCGAUGAAAUCCCUGACGGCGUUUUGUUCAGUCUCCACCGCAGGGUUCUUGUGUAUUCUCAAGCACCCUCUCUGGGUUUCUGCUCUGUAGCACUGCAGGCUGAUUAACUUUCCAAACCACAGGGCUCUCCCUUUGUUAGUCUCCUACACUCUUUCAUUGCUGGCAUUAUUCUCUCAUUUCAAUCUAUAUUCAAUCUAAUUUCAAAUUUCUUUAGCUUUCUAAAAUUCUGUAGACUAUCUCCAUUCAGUCUUUUCUAGCCUUUUUUUAUUUUUUAGAAAUUCACCUUAGUUUUCUUAUCUCCAUACAAACUGGUCAUUUCCUUUUUUCUUCUUAGUCUUUACUUUUCCUGAAUAUCUGCUAAUAACCUUGAUCUUAAGCACUCAAACUCAUUAUAGACUAAGUACUCUUCAUUUUUAUUUGGUAUUUAAUUCUGUUUCUUAUGUCAAAGGAAGAAAUGUAUGUGAAAGCCUUUUACAAACCAGAAAGCACUAUGCACUCGUAUAACUUAUUGAGAUUAACAAAGGACCACUGUGCCUCUUUUCAAGCUUUCUGCUCCUUCUGAGCCAAAAGAACUUCUCCGUAGAGGAGGGAAAUAUUGAAGAAAAAUAAAGCAAUGGAAUUGUCUCUUAGCAACUGAGUUCGUGCCUUAUAAAUCUUACCCACUUUAGAUUACUGCUGCUCAAAAUCACUUGCUUUUCUUACUGGCUCAGUUCAAAUAAUGUUAUUAAAUUAUAGGAAAACAAAGGAAAAAAUCUAAUGAAUGAGUCACUCAGUUCGUCGAUUGUGCUCUCUUUGCUUAGCACUAUUGAUAUAGUUGAGUUGUGUCUUUCUCUUGAUUCCAGUUGUAAAACUUUUUUAUAUAUCUUUUGUUGCAACUUAAAUUAUAAACUAAGUAGAAGCUAAAUACCAUCUUAUACAUUUCUAGGUUACCUGAGUCCUGAAACAAUAUAGGUCAUUUAAGUAGUAUGUAACAUAUAUGUACUAUAUGUAAAUCAGGUUGGGCAUAGCUUAGAGAAAAUCAGGUAUCCAAAAACUCAAACCAAAUUGGGGUGUGAUUAUUUACAUUAUAAUAUAAUUCAUUAUAAGGAUUCUUCAGCUAGUAGAUCUUCAUAGUAUUUUUCAUUUAGCAAAUAUUUUUGAGUGCCUCCUAUGCUAGACAAUGGAAAGGAUAAAGAUUGUGUGUGUGUGUGUGUGUGUGUGUGUGUGUGUAAAUAGUUGUUUUGGGCUGUCAGUAUAAUAAGAUAGAUAAGACUUGCGCACAAAUAAGGCAGUACAAUGAUAAAUGCCUUGUGAGUGGUAAGCCGAGUGCUGUAGAAGUUCAGAGGAGGGAAAGGUCACUUCCAGCUGGGUGAGCUAUUAUGAUUACAUGGGCAAGGUGACAUGUCAGAGAACCAAAGACUAACAGAGAGUUUGUCAAGUUUAGUAAUUAAGGCAAGAUUGAAGAGGUAGGUAAGAUGUUGGUGCCUUCACGAGUAGAGCAAGGAGUUUAAACUUCAGCCAGUAAGUGAUGGGGAGCCGCUGACUUUUUUUAAUCAAAGUAUUGUCUAGGAAAAUGUAUCUGGCAGUAAUGUGUAAUUUUAAUUUAAAAAAAUUAGUCUGUUGAUAGUCUUUUAGGGUGCCUUACUUUUGUGUAAAACAAAAAUGUGUUUAUAAAUAAGUCAAUUAUAGAAUUGAUUCAUUUGUAUUCUUUUUAAAAGGUAGUCAAAAAACUAUUCUCAGAUGAAAUUAGAUCCAGUAAGAUGAGCUGCUUAGUUAAGAUAUAAGCAGUAUAUGAAGUGGGAUAAAAUACUACUUUUCAUACUUUCUAAACUCAUUUUUAGAGAUUUUUUUGUGUCAGUCAUUUCUCCAAUUGAAGCAAUGCAGAAAUCCUCCAUAUUCUUUCCACCCCCCUCUACUUGGAUAGAAUGAAUGGCUGUAAUGAAAAGAACUUCUUAUCAAUAGCCCUCUUAGAUUUAUUCUUAAUUUAGCCAAGUAUUUGUACACCUCUGCAAAAGAUUUUGUUUCUCUGCCUUCUCCUUUAGUGGGAAAAAUAAUCAGUAGGAAUGACAACCUACCUCACAGGGUCGUUGUGAGGCUCUGCUGGUAUGAAGAUGAAGUGUUGUGUAAAUACACCGAAAAUGUUGAUAACUGACUGAGAAAUGGAUUUUAGACAUGUUGUUAGUGGAAACUGCUAUAGAUUGGAAAUGCAAUGUUUUAAUAAUAAAGACUAUAUAAUAAGGUUGGCUAUUGUUUUCCGUUCAUAGUAUGCCUCAGGGAAUUUAGAGCAUAAAAUGGUUCCCACCCAAUACUAUAAAGGAAGUAACACUUCCUACAUAUUUACCUCACAGUGAAAUCAUGUUUUUAAAACAGCACAGCCAGAGAAUGAUAUGUUUUUGUGAGCCAUAUUAGAAACCAGGAGGUUGGGAGUACUAAUCUUGACUUAGUUACCAACUUGCUGUGUCACUGGACAAGUCAGUGAUCCUUUUUGUACCUCAGUUUUUUGACGAUUCUGGAAGGAGGCGUAAAGCUUCUCCAGCCAAAAGAAACCAACUGCCACAUCAACAGCCUGGCACUGUAAGGGACUCAGGAACAUAUAACCAGAAGCUCCUACGUAAAAUAGUUUAAGAAUAAGACUGUAGGACGCUGAACAGCGCACCAUUUGCCCUGUCUUCUAACCCCAGUACUGACCAGUCGAGUUCCCGUCCAAGUGCAGAGUUGCAGGGAAGAGGAUGUGAGUCUGGGAAGGAUUCAUGGUUUCCACUGUGGAGAUCUGGUCACAUCUCAGGUCCAUUAUAGCCUGAAGAACCUAGAAAAGAUCAUGUUUUGUUCUAAUCUUGGUCUUUGGUGCUAUUUGGACUUCUUCUGAGAUGUUCUCAGUGUCUGUCUUGAGGAGCCUCAGCUUCUGAGCAGCCCUGACUACUGUCAUGUCUCUCUGAGCUUUUGGAAGGAUACGGUCUGGGUCCAGGACUACACUGAGUCCUGCUUUUUGGUUCUGAUUUGGGGACUGUGUGUCUUCAGACGAAAAAAAAAUUUUAACUCAGUAGAAUUUUAUUCUAUAAUGAAUUCAUGACAAGGACUUAAUAAUAACAAAUGAUAUAAGUUGUUUUUUGAAAAUGUACUUUGGGUUUUAGAGCAAGGAUUUUCUUUCUCUGCUUCUGACCUAAACAUGAAGAAAAGUUCAGAAUAGUGCUUGAAAACAUCAGUUCAUGCCAUUAAUUGGAAGCAUUUCUUUUACCUGAAGUUGUGACUGAAACUGACUAGCUCCUCUCAAGGCUUAAAAGUUAGGAGCACAAUUUUAGAAAUGAGAAAUUAUUCUGAAUGUUUUCCUCUUUUGCUAUACCUUUCAGGUGCCAGAUAGAGCUUGCUGUGCUGAAUUGAAUCAAAUUGAAGCAUGCCUAGUAAAAAAUAAUAGCCCCUGGCUUGAGAAGCAGACUUUAGUUCAUUCGGAAACCAGAAGGAUCCUGGCCCAGUUUUAAUGCAUGAAAACUCUCCAAACCACCUUGGCUAGAGCCUAGUGUU